AUUGAACGCUGGCGGCAUGCUUUACACAUGCAAGUCGAACGGUAACAGGCCUUCGGGUGCUGACGAGUGGCGAACGGGUGAGUAAUGCAUCGGAACGUACCCAGAGGUGGGGGAUAACGCAGCGAAAGCUGUGCUAAUACCGCAUGUGAUCUGAGGAUGAAAGCGGGGGACCGAGCAGCAAUGUUUGGCCUCGCGCCUUUGGAGCGGCCGAUGUCGGAUUAGCUAGUUGGUGGGGUAAAGGCCUACCAAGGCGACGAUCCGUAGCUGGUCUGAGAGGACGACCAGCCACACUGGGACUGAGACACGGCCCAGACUCCUACGGGAGGCAGCAGUGGGGAAUUUUGGACAAUGGGCGCAAGCCUGAUCCAGCAAUGCCGCGUGCGGGAAGAAGGCCUUCGGGUUGUAAACCGCUUUUGGCAGGAACGAAACGGUGUCCGCUAAUACCGGGCGCUAAUCACGGUACCUGCAGAAUAAGCACCGGCUAACUACGUG
RNAcentral lists this ribosomal RNA (492 nucleotides) under uncultured bacterium. RNAcentral's name for it is "partial 16S ribosomal RNA". It matches the Rfam family "Bacterial small subunit ribosomal RNA", at positions 29 to 507 of the family's 1533-position model. The record is from RNAcentral.